ACCCGCACAAGCGGUGGAGCAUGUGGUUUAAUUCGACGCAACGCGAAGAACCUUACCAGGGCUUGACAUCCUCUGACCGCAUAUGAAGUAUGUUUUUCCUGGGCUUCGGUCAGACAGAGAGACAGGUGGUGCAUGGUUGUCGUCAGCUCGUGUCGUGAGAUGUUCGGUUAAGUCCGCUAACGAGCGCAACCCUCGUCGUAUGUUAUAUGUGUCAUACGAGACUGCCGGUAAAAAGCCGGAGGAAGGUGAGGAUGAUGUCAAGUCAGCAUGACCUUUAUAUCCAGGGCUACACACACGCUACAAUGGUCUGUACAAUGGGUAGCCAAGCCGCGAGGCGGAGCCAAUCCUGAAAGCAGGCCUCAGUUCAGAUUGCAGUCUGAAACUCGACUGCAUGAAGUCGGAGUUGCUAGUAAACGCAGGUCAGCUAUACUGCGUUGAAUACGUUCCCGGGGCUU
This 455-nucleotide ribosomal RNA is filed under the name uncultured Anaerolineaceae bacterium. Its description in RNAcentral is "bacterial SSU rRNA". It matches the Rfam family "Bacterial small subunit ribosomal RNA", at positions 919 to 1382 of the family's 1533-position model. The record is from RNAcentral. Lineage: Bacteria; Bacillati; Chloroflexota; Anaerolineae; Anaerolineales; Anaerolineaceae.